UACGUAGGGUGCAAGCGUUGUCCGGAAUUAUUGGGCGUAAAGAGCUCGUAGGCGGUCUGUCGCGUCGGAUGUGAAAAUCCAGGGCUCAACCCUGGACCUGCAUUCGAUACGGGCAGACUAGAGUUCGGUAGGGGAGACUGGAAUUCCUGGUGUAGCGGUGAAAUGCGCAGAUAUCAGGAGGAACACCGGUGGCGAAGGCGGGUCUCUGGGCCGAUACUGACGCUGAGACGCGAAAGCGUGGGGAGCAAACAGG
RNAcentral lists this ribosomal RNA (253 nucleotides) under uncultured bacterium. RNAcentral's name for it is "partial 16S ribosomal RNA". It matches the Rfam family "Bacterial small subunit ribosomal RNA", at positions 524 to 776 of the family's 1533-position model. The record is from RNAcentral.